This 771-nucleotide long non-coding RNA is filed under the name Homo sapiens (human). Its description in RNAcentral is "HSALNT0102071". Lineage: Eukaryota; Metazoa; Chordata; Mammalia; Primates; Hominidae. The record is from RNAcentral.
AACAAUACCUAGAAGAAAAGAGAAGUGCCCUAGAGGAGCAGCGGCUCAUGUAUGAGCGGGAACUGGAGCAACUCCGCCAGCAGCUCUCCCCCGACAGGCAGCCACAGAGUAGCGGCCCUGACCGCCUGGCCUACAGCAGCCAGACAGCGCAGCAGAAGGUGACCCAGUGGGCAGAAGAGAGUUAUCACCUGGGAAAAACCAGCCAUACAGAGAUAGGAGCUGAAGGGACACAGUGAGAAGUGACCAGAAGACAAGUGUAAGCCCUCUGUUACUCCCAAACAGGGCCACUAGAGGGCUCCCUGGUCUAGUGGUAAGGCCAGUGCCUGAGAAGGCGCCCAUUACCUAGCGGGCCUUGGUCUAGCAGUAGCGUCAGUGCCUGGGGAAGGCACUAGUUACUUAGCAGACUGGGAAAGGGAGUCUCCCUUUUCCCGGGGGAGUUAGAGAAGACUCUGCUCCACCACCUCUUGUGGAAGGCCUGACAUGAGUCAGGCCCGCCCGCAGCCAUCCAGAGGCCUGUCUCCCUGUGAUGCUGUGCUUCAGUGGUCACUCUCCUGGUCUGCUUUCAUGUUCCACCCUGUACGCCUGGCUCUGCCUUCUCGAUAGCAGUAACAGGAUUAGCGAAAGUACUUAAAGUCUUUGAAAUACAUAGAAGAAAUAAUGGUGUAAGCUGUCCUCUCUCUGUCUCCGCCUUGGCUGCCAAACAGGGAAGGGACCCUUGUCCAGUGGACACAUGACUUGCGUGACCUUCCUGUCAUUGGUGAUGGCUCACAC